Molecule: ribosomal RNA, 339 nt
Filed under: Triticum aestivum (bread wheat)
Lineage: Eukaryota; Viridiplantae; Streptophyta; Magnoliopsida; Poales; Poaceae
Description: partial small subunit ribosomal RNA
Source: RNAcentral
GUCCCUAAGCUCACCCUUGAUAAUCAUGUCCUAUGUGAAUUUCACCCUUUUAAUCUUUUUAUUAAGGACCGAGCAACCCAGGACGUUCUGCUUAGUGGCCGCUUGAGCCAAGGCUUGUACCGUUUGGAGGAUCCAUCCGCCUCGUGCGUCUUCAGCGGUGUUCGUGUGUCACCUUUCCAGUGGCACUCUCGCUUUGGUCAUCCUGCCACACCCAUAGUUCGCCACAUACUCCACCGCCAUGAGUUGCCAUUAGAGUCUAGCAAUAAAGAGAUGUCCGUGUGUGAUGCCUGUCAACAAGGCAAAAGUCAUCAGCUACCUUUUGUUUCAUCUACUAGAUAA